RNAcentral lists this ribosomal RNA (468 nucleotides) under uncultured bacterium. Its description in RNAcentral is "partial 16S ribosomal RNA". It matches the Rfam family "Bacterial small subunit ribosomal RNA", at positions 28 to 507 of the family's 1533-position model. The record is from RNAcentral.
GACGAACGCUGGCGGCGUGCUUAACACAUGCAAGUCGAACGGAAAGGCCCUGCUUUUGUGGGGUGCUCGAGUGGCGAACGGGUGAGUAACACGUGAGUAACCUGCCCUUGACUUUGGGAUAACUUCAGGAAACUGGGGCUAAUACCGGAUAGGAGCUCCUGCUGCAUGGUGGGGGUUGGAAAGUUUCGGCGGUUGGGGAUGGACUCGCGGCUUAUGAGCUUGUUGGUGGGGUAGUGGCUUACCAAGGCUUUGACGGGUAGCCGGCCUGAGAGGGUGACCGGCCACAUUGGGACUGCGAUACGGCCCAGACUCCUACGGGAGGCAGCAGUGGGGAAUAUUGCACAAUGGGCGGAAGCCUGAUGCAGCAACGCCGCGUGCGGGAUGACGGCCUUCGGGUUGUAAACCGCUUUCGCCUGUGACGAAGCGUGAGUGACGGUAAUGGGUAAAGAAGCACCGGCUAACUACGUG